AAGUCGUAACAAGGUUUCCGUAGGUGAACCUGCGGAAGGAUCAUUAAAGAGCGUUUAGGGUCCCCUCAAAAAGGGCCCGACCUCCAACCCCAUGUUUACGUAUGUCUCUGUUGCUUCGGCGGCUCUGGCCCCUGUCUCACGGAGGUAACCCGCCGGGGAACACCUAAAACUCUGUCAUGUAACGUGCCGUCUGAGUACUUUAGCGAAUUAAAUAAAA
Molecule: unclassified non-coding RNA, 217 nt
Filed under: plant metagenome
Description: partial contains small subunit ribosomal RNA and internal transcribed spacer 1
Rfam family: Eukaryotic small subunit ribosomal RNA (bases 1-46)
Source: RNAcentral